RNAcentral lists this ribosomal RNA (438 nucleotides) under uncultured bacterium. Its description in RNAcentral is "bacterial SSU rRNA". It matches the Rfam family "Bacterial small subunit ribosomal RNA", at positions 28 to 434 of the family's 1533-position model. The record is from RNAcentral.
GACGAACGCUGGCGGCGUGCCUAAUACAUGCAAGUCGAACGCACUCUCGUUUAGAUUGAAGGAGCUUGCUCCUGAUUGAUAACAUUUGAGUGAGUGGCGGACGGGUGAGUAACACGUGGGUAACCUGCCCUAAAGUGGGGGAUAACAUUUGGAAACAGAUGCUAAUACCGCAUAAAACCUAACACCGCAUGGUGUAGGGUUGAAAGAUGGUUUCGGCUAUCACUUUAGGAUGGACCCGCGGUGCAUUAGUUAGUUGGUGAGGUAAAGGCUCACCAAGACCGUGAUGCAUAGCCGACCUGAGAGGGUAAUCGGCCACACUGGGACUGAGACACGGCCCAGACUCCUACGGGAGGCAGCAGUAGGGAAUCUUCCACAAUGGACGAAAGUCUGAUGGAGCAACGCCGCGUGAGUGAAGAAGGUUUUCGGAUCGUAAACUCU